AUUUGAUCGGAUGAGACAUGUCACAUGAUGGAUGAGUUGAUGGAUGAUCACAAGCAAAAGAUGAGACUCCAGAAGGUGAGAUGAUGAAGGAUGACACACCGACUGUGACUGGAUGCGAGCAUCUCUUUUACUAAGGAGCAGAGCAGCACCCAGGAGACCAGACCCAGAUUAUACACACUGAAACAGAGCUUUUAUUGGACCCUGGUAAAAACCCUGCCUCUGUGUGUGUGUAUGUGUGUGUGUCUGACAGAGGGAGUGUCAGGGGUGUGACAGAAGGGCAAAAAGGAGGAUAUCAAAGGCCCUCCUUUUUCCACAGCGUGUGCAUGUUUUUGUGCGUUUAUCUCUCUUAGUGAGGU
This 356-nucleotide long non-coding RNA is filed under the name Danio rerio (zebrafish). Its description in RNAcentral is "si:dkey-218i12.2 (ENSDARG00000093694.2)". The record is from RNAcentral. Lineage: Eukaryota; Metazoa; Chordata; Actinopteri; Cypriniformes; Danionidae.